Apodemus sylvaticus (European woodmouse) is the source of this 130-nucleotide small nucleolar RNA. RefSeq annotates it as small nucleolar RNA SNORA17. The record is from RefSeq and is a predicted model, not a curated record. The transcript has a single exon. Lineage: Eukaryota; Metazoa; Chordata; Mammalia; Rodentia; Muridae.
AUUGUCUCUAGAGGCUUUGCAGGUGUGGCUGCUGUGUCACAUGUACAUCAGUAGGUGGCAGAGGAGAGAGGCUAUGUCCAUACUCAGUGUUCCGACCUAUGAACAGUUGCAUGAUUAGUAGCCAGACAUU